CGGUGGAGCCCCCGCCCGCCGGCGGCCAGUACACCUCCCGCCAGGGGCGCCCUCCCCGCAGCCCGCCGGCCCUUUGAUCGCCCACGGCCCGCGGCCCGCAGCCCGCAGCCCGCGCUGUGCUGGGCAGGUGGCGGCAGCGGGGCGCGGCACGCUCAGGCGCACGGGUCCCGGGGCCGCGGCGCGCUCCCCGCCACGCAACACAUCAAGGCCCGGCCGGCCGGCGGGCGCCUUCAUUAGCAGCCUGAAAUUAUAAUAUUAUGUUAAAGAACAAAGCUGCUCCCCGGAAAAAUAUGUGCUGCAUAUCUGACAAAGAUAAAUUGGAUUAUUCAAAAUAUUCUUGAUGAAAUGUUACAUUUUACAACUAAUUAUCAAUCUGUUUUAUCUGCAGACCAGCUGGGCAUUUUUGUGCAUGCAAGACCUGCCUUCGCAAUGAUCUUAAGAUGUCACUGUAGCGUUUACAUCUUUUAUUUCAAGAUUUAAAUAACUAGGAAGUAGCUAAUGUAAUUCACUGCUGAGAAGAAAGGCGAGCUCCUCGGUUCCUUUCCAAAGCGAUCUCCUCCUAAUGAACUUCUCUGGACUAGGGAAGAGGGAAGCCCCUCCCAUCCGCUUCUAUUGGGGCUUGUUAAGCCAUCGCCUUGGGGGCCGGCUGAUCAGCGGUGUGCCAUAGCCAGCAGCCGGCGGCUUCAGCAGGCAGGAGCAAGGACAGCCUGUGGCUACUGCAACCCCACUGCCGGGACGCUUCAUGACGGGAGGAAUAUAAAGGCAAAUCAUGGGCUGCACGAGAGGGAAAAAGCUUCAUGUCCCAACCAAAAGUAUUCCCUUUCUGAGGACUGCUGCCCAAGUGUGAAGUAGGAGACGUGCAGUUCAAGGGCACCCGUGCAAUGCUCAUGCGGAGCCCUUUUCUUAGCCCGGCAUGACAGGACUCCCAGAGGCCAAUGGAGUGGAACUAUUGAAGUCCUGCAGAUGGGAGCCACUCUCUGGCUGUGGUCACCAAGGUACUCACGGCCUCCAGAGGCCACAAAGGAUGGAUAAUUGCAACCCACAGGUCUCCUUCGGAUUUCCUCCAAGCCCGCUGUGGAAUUACUCUGCACUCUUUGCAAUGAUGUUUAGUGAUUCUCAUCGUGGAGCAGCUUGCUGGGACCCUGCCAGCUGAUCUUAACAAGCCCACUUACUGCAGGAUUCCCACUGCUUUCCAGGGCUAGCAAUUCCUUAACCAAAGGCAAGUUUCCCAGGAGAUCCUUGAGAAGGUGCCUCAUUAUUACUAUUUUGAUGUUGAAGCAGUUCAUUGUGCAAGUUACUUACCAGGUGGGCCAGUGUGUUUGGGAAGAACAGAGCGGGCAUUGAGCGGACUGGGGCGGGCUGGGGAUGAGGCUCCACUCCCUCCACCCUUGUCCUUCCCUCUUCUUCUUCUCGCUCACCCUCAGAAGCGCCAGGCCCCUUCCAGGCUGCAGCCCCUCAUGUUGUCUUCACGCAUUGAUAGUGACAGCUGUCUUGUGCUAGUUGGUGACUAGGCAUGAACGCAUGGCAGUCGUUGGCUUGUUUCCUCUCCUGGAUAACUUUUUCUUUCUUUUCAUAUUAGUUAGAGGCUCUCAUGUCUUAAUGAAAGGGGGUCACUCACGUGAGGUUUUGGGUGCACCAGGCGGGUAGGUUCUGAACUUCUGGCCUCGUUCCAUGUCUCAAAGUCUGGAUGACCAUGUGUGCAGGGCCAAGCUGUGCCUGGCCAAAUGGCCCCAAGCAGGAGCGUCGGGCUGUGUGGUAGAGACGGGUGGUGACCCUCCAGCUCUGCUGCUCCAGCGGUAGCUGCAGAGUGUGCAAGGGAGAGUCUCUGGAUUCCAUAGACCAAAGAAGAAAGGACACCCAUGGGUGUAUUCAGAAACAUGAAGCACCCUGUGUGAUGCACCUACACCCAGGCUGAUGGGGACGCCUGCAAGGACAGGCUUGGACACGACAUAGGGGGAGGCAGAUUUGCUUUAGAAAACACACACUAGGAAAGUGGAAUUUGCCAUCAGGCCCUGCCUGAUGGGGUGGUCAGGGUCAGGGGUGGUCAGGCUAAG
Callithrix jacchus (white-tufted-ear marmoset) is the source of this 2054-nucleotide long non-coding RNA. RefSeq lists it as uncharacterized. Lineage: Eukaryota; Metazoa; Chordata; Mammalia; Primates; Cebidae. The record is from RefSeq and is a predicted model, not a curated record.